This 413-nucleotide ribosomal RNA is filed under the name Chryseobacterium sp. 28B(2010). RNAcentral's name for it is "bacterial SSU rRNA". It matches the Rfam family "Bacterial small subunit ribosomal RNA", at positions 272 to 684 of the family's 1533-position model. The record is from RNAcentral. Lineage: Bacteria; Pseudomonadati; Bacteroidota; Flavobacteriia; Flavobacteriales; Weeksellaceae.
GUCUGCGAUCUUUAGGGGGCCUGAGAGGGUGAUCCCCCACACUGGUACUGAGACACGGACCAGACUCCUACGGGAGGCAGCAGUGAGGAAUAUUGGACAAUGGGUGAGAGCCUGAUCCAGCCAUCCCGCGUGAAGGACGCUGCCCUAUGGGUUGUAAACUUCUUUUGUUAGGGAUAAACCUAGAUACGUGUAUCUAGCUGAAGGUACUAUACGAAUAAGCACCGGCUAACUCCGUGCCAGCAGCCGCGGUAAUACGGAGGGUGCAAGCGUUAUCCGGAUUUAUUGGGUUUAAAGGGUCCGUAGGCGGAUCUGUAAGUCAGUGGUGAAAUCUCACAGCUUAACUGUGAAACUGCCAUUGAUACUGCAGGUCUUGAGUGUUGUUGAAGUAGCUGGAAUAAGUAGUGUAGCGGUGA